AGUGAGACUGCCGGUGACAAACCGGAGGAAGGUGGGGGAUGACGUCAAGUCCUCAUGGCCCUUAUGGUAGGGCUUCACACGUCAUACAAUGGUCGGUACAGAGGGUUGCCAAGCCGCGAGGUGGAGCCAAUCCCUUAAAGCCGAUCGUAGUCCGGAUCGUAGUCUGCAACUCGACUACGUGAAGUCGGAAUCGCUAGUAAUCGCAGAUCAGCAUGCUGCGGUGAAUACGUUCCCGGGUCUU
RNAcentral lists this ribosomal RNA (241 nucleotides) under uncultured Thauera sp. RNAcentral describes it as "partial 16S ribosomal RNA". It matches the Rfam family "Bacterial small subunit ribosomal RNA", at positions 1142 to 1382 of the family's 1533-position model. Lineage: Bacteria; Pseudomonadati; Pseudomonadota; Betaproteobacteria; Rhodocyclales; Zoogloeaceae. The record is from RNAcentral.